RNAcentral lists this transfer RNA (92 nucleotides) under Neobacillus mesonae. RNAcentral describes it as "tRNA-Ser". It matches the Rfam family "tRNA". From Rfam's summary of the family: Transfer RNA (tRNA) molecules are approximately 80 nucleotides in length. The record is from RNAcentral. Lineage: Bacteria; Bacillati; Bacillota; Bacilli; Caryophanales; Bacillaceae. RNAcentral also lists the same sequence under 5 other names.
GGAGAAGUACCCAAGUGGUUAUAAGGGGGCGCACUCGAAAUGCGUUAGGGCGGGUAACCGUCGCGUGAGUUCGAAUCUCACCUUCUCCGCCA